Molecule: ribosomal RNA, 595 nt
Filed under: uncultured Dyella sp.
Lineage: Bacteria; Pseudomonadati; Pseudomonadota; Gammaproteobacteria; Lysobacterales; Rhodanobacteraceae
Description: bacterial SSU rRNA
Rfam family: Bacterial small subunit ribosomal RNA
Source: RNAcentral
AGAGUCACUCCUACGGGAGGCAGCAGUGGGGAAUAUUGGACAAUGGGCGCAAGCCUGAUCCAGCAAUGCCGCGUGUGUGAAGAAGGCCUUCGGGUUGUAAAGCACUUUUAUCAGGAGCGAAAUACUACUGGCUAAUAACCGGUGGGGCUGACGGUACCUGAGGAAUAAGCACCGGCUAACUUCGUGCCAGCAGCCGCGGUAAUACGAAGGGUGCAAGCGUUAAUCGGAAUUACUGGGCGUAAAGCGUGCGUAGGCGGUGAGUUAAGUCUGUUGUGAAAUCCCCGGGCUCAACCUGGGAAUGGCAAUGGAUACUGGCUCGCUAGAGUGUGAUAGAGGAUGGUGGAAUUCCCGGUGUAGCGGUGAAAUGCGUAGAGAUCGGGAGGAACAUCAGUGGCGAAGGCGGCCAUCUGGAUCAACACUGACGCUGAGGCACGAAAGCGUGGGGAGCAAACAGGAUUAGAUACCCUGGUAGUCCACGCCCUAAACGAUGCGAACUGGAUGUUGGUCUCAACUCGGAGAUCAGUGUCGAAGCUAACGCGUUAAGUUCGCCGCCUGGGGAGUACGGUCGCAAGACUGAAACUCAAAGGAAUUGACG